GACAGAGGGUGCAAACGUUUGUUCGGAAUUACUGGGCGUAAAGCGAGUGUAGGCGGUUUGGUAAGUCGGAUGUGAAAGCCCCGGGCUCAACCCGGGAAGUGCACUCGAUACUGCCAAGCUAGAGUAUCGGAGAGGUUGGUGGAAUUCUCGGUGUAGAGGUGAAAUUCGUAGAUAUCAGGAGGAACACCGGUGGCGAAGGCAGGUCUCUGGGGCAGUAACUGACGCU
This 226-nucleotide ribosomal RNA is filed under the name uncultured bacterium. Its description in RNAcentral is "partial 16S ribosomal RNA". It matches the Rfam family "Bacterial small subunit ribosomal RNA", at positions 524 to 747 of the family's 1533-position model. The record is from RNAcentral.